Molecule: ribosomal RNA, 460 nt
Filed under: uncultured bacterium
Lineage: Bacteria
Description: partial 16S ribosomal RNA
Rfam family: Bacterial small subunit ribosomal RNA
Source: RNAcentral
CCUACGUGAGGCAGCAGUGAGGAAUAUUGGUCAAUGGGCGCGAGCCUGAACCAGCCAAGUAGCGUGAAGGAUGACUGCCCUACGGGUUGUAAACUUCUUUUAUAAAGGAAUAAAGUGAGGCACGUGUGCCUUUUUGUAUGUACUUUAUGAAUAAGGAUCGGCUAACUCCGUGCCAGCAGCCGCGGUAAUACGGAGGAUCCGAGCGUUAUCCGGAUUUAUUGGGUUUAAAGGGAGCGUAGAUGGGUUGUUAAGUCAGUUGUGAAAGUUUGCGGCUCAACCGUAAAAUUGCAAUUGAUACUGGCAGUCUUGAGUACAGUUGAGGUAGGCGGAAUUCGUGGUGUAGCGGUGAAAUGCUUAGAUAUCACGAAGAACUCCGAUUGCGAAGGCAGCUUACUAAACUGCCACUGACAUUGAUGCUCAAAAGUGUGGGUAUCAAACAGGAUUAGAUACCCCAGUAGUC